CAGUGAUGGUGGGCAGGUGGGUGUCGGGAUCAAACUGUAUCGCCUGCAAACAGAAGUAAGGAGUAUUGCUGUCACCGACCAAAAAGGUGGUCAGAAGAAUAUGCAAAAUCGCACCACGAGCAACACGGGACCUUCCUCCAGGCUGAAUAAGCUAAAUGAACUUCAAUUUUUAAAAAGAGGCCAUUUUAUCGACCUUGAAAAUUCCAUUCAUCAUCUCAAAAGGGCACACCAUCUUCCUAGAAAUGACAACAGACAGAAUGGGUAUGACACCCUGGGGAGAAGCCAAGGGAGUGGAAGAUCCACUAGACAAUGGGAAAAUCUACGACAGCAGUCCUUUAGUACAUCAAUACUAUUAUUGUCUUUAAUGCCGGGAAGAUGGUAUCUACGAUGUUUAGAGGCUCAUGCAAUGUAACACAAGGGAUACUUUAAUUUGGAUAACCUAAAAUGAAGAGACUUAGGAGAGGAAUAUGAAGAUAAUUUUAAAAUGAAUAUGAGAAGACAAAGAAUUCACUGUAAUAUUUCCUGGCCCAUUUAAUACAUCAGAAAUUUCCAUGAAGCACAUACUUGACAGUAUUCUAAAAAGUAUAAAAUAUGCAAAUAAAAGAGGCUAUCCUAUCACCACAAACAGGUUUUUUUAAACUUUCAUUGUAUUUUUAAACAAAAUAAAUGAGAUACUUAAACAGUAAAUAAACACGUAAACUAUGUUGAGCUAUAUUGUAUAUUUACACAGUAAAAUAGUAUAUAUACA
Molecule: long non-coding RNA, 748 nt
Organism: Zalophus californianus (California sea lion)
Lineage: Eukaryota; Metazoa; Chordata; Mammalia; Carnivora; Otariidae
Exons: 4
Source: RefSeq, a predicted model, not a curated record